Molecule: RNA transcript, 6236 nt
Organism: Quercus lobata
Lineage: Eukaryota; Viridiplantae; Streptophyta; Magnoliopsida; Fagales; Fagaceae
Gene name: disease resistance protein RGA2-like
Exons: 18
Source: RefSeq, a predicted model, not a curated record
UUAUCAAUUCAAUAAAUUUGAGUUAAUCAUCAAUUGGAUGGCACAAGGAUAUAUCAACUCAAAAGGAAAUAUGGAGAUGGAAGUUAAAGCAGAGCACUACUUUGAAAAUUUAGCCAUGCGCUCUUUUUUUCAAGACUUUGAGAAAGAUGGGAAUGAUGGUAAAAUUGUAAGUUGCAAAAUGCAUGAUAUUGUGCAUAACUUUGCAAAAUCAAUGGCAAAAGAUGUGUGCUUCACAAUCAAUUAUAGUGGUGACAAGGUUGAGAAAGACUUUAAGAGGGCUCGCCAUUUGUCAUUAAUAAUUAAAGAAACAUUUCCUGAAUUUGUCUAUGAAGCGAAAAAUUUACGCUUUUUAAAUUUGGAUUUUAUUUCUUCUCCGAUUGUCCAACCCAAGUUAUUCGACCAUUUGACAUGUCUCCGUACAUUACAUUUGGAAGGUGAGUCCAUUUUGGAACUUCCAAAUGAGGUGGAAAAAUUGAUACAUUUAAGAUUACUCAAGUUAUCUUGUAUAAAGAUAAAAGAAUUGCCUGAAAGUAUAUGUAAUUUAUGUAAUUUACAAAGUUUGGAUGUUAGUGGUUGUUGGAAACUUGAGAAAUUACCCAAGGGUAUAGGUAAACUAUUUAAUUUAAGACACCUCCUGAUUGAUGGAAUAAGAAUAAAAUCGUUUCCGAAGGGAAUUGGGAGAUUAACUUGUCUUAAAACAUUAGGAUACUUUCCUGUAGGCGGUAAGGGCGAAGAAAUAUGUAAACUGGGAGAAUUAGAACAUUUGAACCACAUUCAAGGGAAACUUGAAAUAUACGGGUUGAGUGAUGUGGUAGAUUCUGGUGCGAUCGAGAAUACAUUGAAGAAGAAGAAAGACCUCCGUGAUUUGGUGCUAUAUUUUAAGACAUUAGAGGAAGAGCCAGAGGAAGAGGAAGAGACAGAGGAAGAGGAGGAAGAGGAAGAGACAGAGGAAGAAAGAAGAAGAAAAAUGGAGAAAGAUGUAGCCAUUCUAAAUGCCUUAGAGCCACCUCCCCGCUUGGAAUCUUUACAUAUUGUUUCUUAUAAGGGCACCACAAUGUAUCCUAAUUGGAUGAUGUCCAAAUUGACCUAUUUGAAAAGCCUUAUGAUCGAAUUUUACCCAAACCUAGAGCAGUUGCCUCCUUUGGGGAAGCUGCCGUUGCUCGAAGAAUUAGUAAUAGAUAUCGCUCGAAUGAUUCGAAAGGUGGGAGAUGAAUUUUUGGGAAUAGACAUAGAAGAAGAAGAAUUAUCAGAAUCAUCCAAAGACAUCAUCAUAUUCCCAAACCUUAAAUCUCUCGAAUUUACCCAAAUGGACAGCUGGGAAGAAUGGAGUGGGAUGGGAGGAACAAUAGAAGAAGAAGAAGAAAAAGAUAAUAGUGCUAAUGCUUUUGUUACUAAUAAUACUCCAAAAAUUCAAAUAAUGCCACUUCUUCAUUCCUUGCAAAUUGGGUGGUGCUACAAGCUAAAGUCUCUGCCAGACUACCUGCGUAAUACUCCAUUACAGGAAUUGCAUAUCUAUGGUUAUGAGGGCACCGCAAUGUAUCCUAAUUGGAUGAUGUCCAAAUUGACCUAUUUGAAAAAACUCUAUCUCGACGAGUGCCCAAACCUAGAGCAGUUGCCUCCUUUGGGGAAGCUGCCGUUGCUCGAAGAAUUAGAAAUAAGGGAAGCUCCAAUGAUUCGAAAGGUGGGAGAUGAAUUUUUGGGAAUAGACAUAGAAGAAGAAGAAUUAUCAGAAUCAUCCAAAAACAAUAACAACAAAGACAUCAUCAUAUUAUUCCCAAACCUUAAAUCUCUCAUAUUUAAAUCUUUAUGGACGUGGAAAGAAUGGAGUGGGAUGGGAGGAACAAUAGAAGAAGAAGAAGAAAAAGAUAAUAGUGCUAAUGCUUUUGUUACUAAUAAUACUCCAAAAAUUCAAAUAAUGCCACGUCUUCAUUCCUUGACAAUUUGGGAUUGCGGCAAUCUAAAGUCUCUGCCAGACUACCUGCGUAAUACUCCAUUACUAAAGGAAUUGGAAAUCUGGGUAUGUCCAAUUCUCAAGCAGCGUUUCGAAAGAGGGAUAGGAUCUUACUGGCCCAACAUUUCUCACAUUCCAAACAUCCAAAUUGAUUUUAAAUAUGUGCAAAAAGACGGUCAACUUCCAGACAGACAGCAUUGAUUGAUUCAGAGAUGCAUGAUGAUGUGGCUGAGGUGGACAAGAUUGAGGACAGUAAUCAUGAGGGAGAUGAUGGGGCUGGGUUUGAGGCGGAUGAACAAGUGGUGGAAUUAAACAUUGAUGAAAGGGAUUUGUGAAUCUUGAUAGUACAGGGUAGUUGACAUGCACUGAAGAAAACAGAUACAUUGUUAUGAGACUGGGCAGUAAGAGCAGAGUGUUGAAGAAGACAAAAAGUUUGAAGACGAUGAGGGAGGAGGAAAGAUGUUCAACAUGAAGUAAAGGGGGAACUGCUUGUAACCUAAGUAGGAUUGUGAAGAUGAAAACUUGGUCAAACGUAGGUGAUUGGCUGAGCUGAACAGUACAGGAUGAUUGUCAUACACUGAAGAAGACAGAUACAUCUUAUGGGACAGGCUAGUAAAAGGAAGGUGUUGAAGUGGACAAAGACUUUAAAGACGAAUGAUGAGGAUUCAUAGCAAUGUAAGCUACUCUUGCUAAUAGUGAUCUGGACUGUUGCUUGAUUCCCGAGUCACCCUUUAACCUUGAAGGAGCUGGAGGACAAUUUGAAGAAAUAAAUUAAAGAAAAUGGAUACAUGGUUAUAGUAAUAGCUAAAAAGUGCAGGAAAAAAGCUUUUUUGUAAGCAUGAACACCAAAGACCUGCAGGAUUCUUUUGCAAAUAAGCUACUCCAGGAUGUGAGUCUGGAUAUAUCAAAAUUUUAGAUCCCAUGUACAUGCUGUUCCAAGCAAUGCUUCGGAUAAUGUGUGUUAAAUCCCCCUAGUGCACAACCAUUUGUGGUGCAAUGGCAGGGUAUACGAGCUCCUAUUAAUGGGAGACAUGCUUAGAUACCAUUCUAUCACCUGUAUCCGACCAAACAAAACCCACUUACUUUACAAGGGAGCUCUGAGGGCGAGCACUUGACAUAUGAGAAAGGAUUCUGAGCUACCAAAGAAAUCACUGACAAGGUUCAUUAAGCUGGUACCACAACCCAUGUUUGAAGUUUUACGCAUGGAGAACGAUGUUGUAUACUAUGAGGCCCAAUUGCCCAUACUAUUUGUGGAGUUCAUGCACGGUCUGCCACUUAUAAACUCUGGGUGCAGGUAUUGCAUAGAUUAUCUAGUAAAGUGUAAAACUAUUGGAGAGGCACAUUUUAUAGGGGUCAAAAUUGUUGAGGAGUGAUGCACCUCAAAUAAGCUUGUCUUACAUUCUGAUGCAAGAUAGCUAAUUGAUAAAGCUUGAUAGGCCCUGCAUACGUCAGAUUAAUGAAGCUCCCUUUCCCUUUGUCCUGAUCAUUGACCUUAUUUAUAAAGCUCUAUACUCAAUUCAUGGAUGUAAAAGUGCUGAUAGAUGUGUCUCCAUUCAAAAUCAUGAACAUAGCAUGUCGUGGAUGUCAAGAAGAAAAAAUGUCAAGCGGUGACACAUGAACAGGAAAUUAGGCAAAUGCUUUUAUGUAUAUCUGUAAGUUCAUUCCAAAGAAUUUGUUGUUUAAAUAUGAAUGCCUGGAUAAAACUUUUAUUGCUGUAAGGACAGGUUUUGAUUUCAAGAGUAUGUAAAUUGCAUGUGUUAGUGGCAAAAUUGAUUUGUAUAAGCAGAUGCUUUUGUUAAAUUUCAUUUUUCUGAUGGCUAAUAUCCUAAGACAAUAUUGCUGCUAAAAGAAGUGCUAGAGUGUUAAUAAUCUUUAAUAAGCCAGUCGCUAAAAAGCUAUCAACAAAGUGACCUUUAGAAGCAGUUGUUUAUAUAUUUUUAAGCUUCUCAUGUUUAUUAUUCAGUGAAAAAAAAUCAUGUUUGUUGUGCCUUUGUGUGGACCUGUAAACAAAUGAUAAAAAAUGUGCAACUAAAAUUCAAGUGUUGUUGCUCCUGCUUCCCUUGUUGUUACAUAAGAUUUAGAUAGGGACCAGUCAUCUUGGUUCAUAAGAAUUUGAUGUCCUUCAAGUUUAAUUUUUCAUCAUAGCUAGAAGAAUUGGCCCACGCUUUGUAGAGAAACACUUCUCUUGAAGAAAAGUAGACAUGCGUGACGCCGCCAACGCGGGUGGAGGCUCCGGCUCGGCUCGCAACACGAAGAUCAAGACGGAGAAUCAGAGCUCCUACGCCGGAGCUCCGAAUCCAUUCACGAAGAUCAAGUAUAAAAAUAAUCUUAAAGUUUAGAAGUGAUUGAUUCAAUGAUUUGAGAAUAGAAAUGGUGUUUGUGGCAUUUUUAAAUCUGGACAGUACAGGGCAGUUGACAUGCACAGAAGAAGACAGAUACAUUAUGAUGAGACUGGGUGUUGAAGAAGACAAUGAAUGAGGAGGCAUGCAUGUGGAUUGAUGAUGAUCAAGAUAAUGAAUCUAGGCAAGAAAUCAAUGACAAAGAUUAGCUGGUUAAAGUAUACAAGAUUGAGGACAUUAGUGAUGAAGAAGAUGGGGACUAAGGAUAAGGACUUAUCAAAAAAGAAGAUUAGACUAAGUAUAAGAAGGUUUUUUGCGGAGCUGAACAGAAUAGGGCGAUUGACAUACAUAGAAGAAGACAGAGACUUUAAAGACGAACGAUGAGGGAUCAUGAAGUUUAGUUACAAGUAGAGUUUUUAUAAAUGAUGAUAGUGAGGGAUAUGAAGCCUCUGUUAUUGAAGUUUGGGGUGACUUUAACUCUCCCUUUUUUAGGAUUUAUUUGACUCUCCCCUUAGAACCAGAAGGAUCAAUCCCGCCCUGCUGCUUUCCUUGCCACUCUUUGGGAAAUUAGGAGGUGUGGGCUUAUAGUUGCAGCGGUAGGAAUACUGAAGACAAUUGAUGAUGGCAUUCCUGUACUCCUCUAGGCAUACACAACUCUAAAAUUUGAUGGUCAUGUAUAUCUCCUAAUACAAAACCAUGAUUUGAUAUUGAUGAUGACUUCAAAAAUUGGGUUUUAGUUUCAUCAUUUGAAGCCUUAAUGUCUCCGUUUCCUCCUCAUCAUUAGGCAUUCAUUGAAGUUUAAAUCUAUUGGAGAAGCACAGUUUUAUAUUGGUGAAAAUUUUUGAGCAAGGAUGCACCUCAGAUAGCCAUGUCUUACAUUCGGGUGCAAGAUAUAUUUGCAUGUCAUGGACGUGAAGAAGAAAUAAGGUCAACCAGUGACACAUGGAUGUCAAGAAGAAAUAAGGUCAACCAGUGACACAUGAAUUGGAAACUAGGCAAUUGGCAUUAUGCGUAUCUAUCAAAGACAGAUCCUCUGGAUUUUACAAAUAGCAUAAGCCUAGCAGAUUAACACAAAAAACUUGCAAUGGAUGAUGAAGAAAGGUCAAGAUCAAUCUCAAAGAGAAAAUCCCAUCUAUGUGGUCACAGAUUAACACUACUAGUCAUGGGUUGCCAAAUGGGGAUACAAUUGUGAUCUUGUUUGUGUGUACUGCAAGAGAAAGCUGGCGUCAAUGUUGGGCUGCAUAAGAUGGGUAUCUUUCUCAAAUAUAACGAUCCUAAUUACAUGAUCUGUGUUGUUCUGAGCAAUGCAUCUGAAAUGUGUGCUCAACCCUCCUUGCACACAGGGCCAUUCAUGGUUUAGUGGCAGGGUAUAUGGAUUCACAGUCGAGCCUAUUAAUGGGAGGCAUGCUUACAUUCCAUUCCCUUGUUCAAUUGAGAAACAAAGCAAGGUCAUGAUAAGUGACAUGAUGUGGGCAAAACUACAGUCUUCAACCAAUCAAUUGAGUUUUCUUGAUCGCGGGUAGAAAGACGGGAUGUACCACAAAUCUUAUCAAUAUAUAAGCAGACCCAUUUGGAAGUAACAAGAUCUAAGCAUAUAUGAGUUCCCAAAGAUGUCAUGAGGACAUAGUGAGGAAGAACCACUUGGAACACCAUUUUAGAAGCAAAAAUGGCUUAAUAAAGUGAUUAGCAGCACUGUCCAAUCAGAGUAGCUGUUAAUUUGGUGUUUUCUGUGUUAUUAUAUCCCUUUGUUUUUCCCUGCAUGUUGAUACUAAUUAUGUCAAGUACGUCCCCUGAAAUCUUUGUGGUUUGUUCUAGCAUUGCUGAUUCAUAAGAUUUUUGUGUGAAAUUAUCCUAUGUAGAUGGGGCCUACUUGAGCUUCUUGACACGAUACUUUUGUAAAGAACCACUGUAUAUUAUUUUGAAUAUAUAAGAAAUUUGAGUUUGCA